Molecule: non-coding RNA, 103 nt
Filed under: Loigolactobacillus bifermentans
Lineage: Bacteria; Bacillati; Bacillota; Bacilli; Lactobacillales; Lactobacillaceae
Also listed under: 1 other name
Description: Lactobacillus bifermentans TPP sequence
Rfam family: TPP riboswitch aptamer (THI element)
About the family: Vitamin B(1) in its active form thiamin pyrophosphate (TPP) is an essential coenzyme that is synthesised by coupling of pyrimidine and thiazole moieties in bacteria. The previously detected thiamin-regulatory element, thi box was extended, resulting in a new, highly conserved RNA secondary structure, the THI element, which is widely distributed in eubacteria and also occurs in some archaea. Analysis of operon structures identified a large number of new candidate thiamin-regulated genes, mostly transporters, in various prokaryotic organisms.
Source: RNAcentral
AAUCAACACUAGGGGUGUUCGAAAGAGCUGAGAUGCAUCAAGCAGUGCAAUCCCUUUGAACCUGUAAGUUCAGACUUGCGCAGGAAAGUGUUAAUGGUCGCAA